This 486-nucleotide ribosomal RNA is filed under the name uncultured bacterium. RNAcentral's name for it is "partial 16S ribosomal RNA". It matches the Rfam family "Bacterial small subunit ribosomal RNA", at positions 899 to 1397 of the family's 1533-position model. The record is from RNAcentral.
ACUCAAAGGAAUUGACGGGGACCCGCACAAGCAGUGGAGCGUGUGGUUUAAUUCGAUUCAAAGCGAAGAACCUUACCAGGGCUCGACAUGUAUCUGCAAGCGCACGGAAACGUGUGAUCUUCGAGAGUGAUACAAAGCUGCUGCAUGGCCGUCUUCAGCUCGUUCCGUGAGGAGUACCCUUGAGUGGGUUAACGAGCGCAACCCUUACUCUUUGUUAAAUUUAUUCAAAGAGAACUGCCUUGGCAAAACCAGGGAGGAAGGCGGGGACGACGUCAGGUCAGCACGGUGCUUAUGUCCUGGGCUACACACACCCUACAAUGGCGAACAACAAUGAGUCGCAAGACCGUAAGGUUAAGCAAAUCUCUGAAAUUUCGCCUCAGUUCAGAUUGAGGGCUGCAAUUCGCCCUCAUGAAGUUGGAAUUGCUAGUAAUGGCCAAUCAGCAGGUGGCCGUGAAUACGUUCUCGGGUCUUGUACACACCGCCCGU